This 2174-nucleotide long non-coding RNA is filed under the name Cricetulus griseus (Chinese hamster). RNAcentral's name for it is "lncRNA (ENSCGRG00015032698.1)". Lineage: Eukaryota; Metazoa; Chordata; Mammalia; Rodentia; Cricetidae. The record is from RNAcentral.
CAACCAAUCGCCGAGGAGCACCACCCACCGAGCGACUGCUCAUUGGCAAAAGUGGCCGUCAAGUACACACGUCACGCAACAGCCAGGAUGGGCGGGGCAGAACUCUCGCCUUGGCUGCCCGAGUGAGUGUGAGUGUGAGAGCGAGAACAGCCCGCAGGUCCCGAGGCGCUUGCAGGGGACUCUGCCGCGGAAAGUUCCCAGUCCCCAGCCGCAGAUACUCUGGAAAAUAGGAAGAGAACCCAACCCAACCCAAACUGAAAGUACCAAAAUAUGUGAAAUCCGUACAGCAAAGAUGAUGAGCUUUCUGGGAGGAGAUACUGAAAGAAGAGUAAUUCUGUCCAGGGGGUCACUUCGAGAUCAUCCCUCUCACCUGAUGCUACUGACCUUGGAGAUUAAGGAGAUGUUGAAAGCAGCACUGCAGUCUCAUAAUUUUGGAAGUCUCCCUUGAAAGUCUUUCCACCUAAUCCCAGCUCUUUGUGAACACAAGAGGAUGGGAGAACAUUCCUCACAGGAUACUAUUAACACUGGGAAAAUCCUCAUCCAGUGGCUGAUGGAAGCAGAGGCAGACACCCACAGCUAUACACUGAACUGAACUCUGGAACCCAGUUGCAGAAAGAGAGGAAUGAAGAUCAAAGGGGUCCAGACCAGGCUGGUGAAUCCCACAGAAACAGCUGGCCUGAACAAGGGGGAGCACAUGGACCCCAGACACUGAUGUACAUUCAGGGAAAACAACAAGCUCAAAGUACUGGGCAGAGGAAUGUGUCCUCCAGUGAAACCUCAAGCUGGGGACUAAGCUCCUAAGGGAAAGCUGACACUUAAGAAACUCAACCCUUCAGAGAACCUGAUGAAACUCCACUGACAAAACUUAUGAUGGUCUGUUCUCUUCCACUGGAUCUCAAACUUGGGUACUCAGACUUGGUUAUCCAUAUUACUACUCUGCUUUAAUUUGUGGAAAUCUUCAUUCUUUCAUCAAUAUUAUUUUUAUUUUGCAUUAGAAGAUAGUAAAGAUCAAUUACUAGAUACUGAUUUCUUGAUUUAUUUAGUGAUUUGCUUAAAGUACUGUUUGUUCUGUCUACUUGCCAAGUAUGACUUCACUUGUUAUGUGGAACAGAAUGACAGGGAAAAAUAGCAGAAAAAUGGUUGUUUCCCUUAACAACCUGCUGAUUGCCAGGUAAGAUUCUACAGAAUCUGUCUUGUGGUUUUAGAGUAUAAAAUGAGACUACAAACUCCUUGGGACUGAAGCAUUUUAGAAGCUUGUCUGGCUUCAGUCUGUUAGUGAAUCUUCUCUCUUUUACUCUUUAUGGUGUUGGAGUGCUUAUUCAGAAACAUUCCUGAAACAGUAAACUUUUAUCUUGUCUGAUUAGUUGUUAUGGUCCUCUAUCUGUUUCUGUGCCUAGUUUAUUGGAUUUCCCCCACCCUGAACUGCAACCUAUCUUCUUCCUGCUAUGCCAUUUUCUCUUUCUGUCUCUGCCAUCCUGCUGGCUCUAUAAUUCUUAGAAAUGAUUUCCUAUGGCUUUACAACAUUUAAACUCUACUAGUGCUGUCAAUACCCCAACUCAACUUUCUAAUAUCACUUCUCUGUUGCGUUUGUAAGUCAUUUCUUGUCACUAUCAGCCCCCUUUCUUUACACCACAUUUAAAAUGUGGUGUAAUGUCCCUCCCCCUUUUUUCUAACAUAUUUAUUAAAGCAGAGGGGAUGAUUGUUUGUAAAUAGUCAUUACUGCAUUUUCACAGAUGAUCUACUGACCAGUUGUGCUUGCUACUUCAGCUAAUUUUCCACUAAUUGAACAGUGCUGGAAAUAAUUGUUGAAAACCUGAGAAUGUGAGCUAAGUUUUUAGCUACUGGGAUGCAUUCCUAAUCUGGAGGGAAAAUAUGAUAUUUCAACCGUAUACUGCUAAAGUAACACUUGAACAUGGAAAGUUCUUCAACUAAAAUAAUGAGUGGUUAAAAUUACAAUCAACAACUAAAUUCCAGGCUCACAAUUACCUAUAUAGAAGCAUAGAAUCAAGUUCUCAUGAUUCCUCAAGAUGAGUGUCUUAGAUAAUUUUUGUCACUGUGGAAUACACACUUAGCAAAUCUACUUGUGAAAAAGGGGCUUGCUGUAGCUUAUAGAUCAAGGUGAUAAUACAAAUUGUCUGAAUGAAAAUCAAUACUGAAUAAACCUGAAGCAUGUG